AUCAUGGACCAUACCAUCAUGAAUGUGUCUGAUCUCAUCUGAUCUCAGAAGUUAAACAGAGUCAGGCCUGAUUUGUACUUGUAUGGGGAGGGGGGUCCUGGGAAUACUGGGUACUAUAGGCCGUUGUUU
This 129-nucleotide ribosomal RNA is filed under the name Notamacropus eugenii (tammar wallaby). Lineage: Eukaryota; Metazoa; Chordata; Mammalia; Diprotodontia; Macropodidae. The record is from RNAcentral.